GGCACACACUUCUUUUUUACACACACUUUUAACACCUUAGUAUAAGAAUGUAAUAGUCUCUUAAUUGAGCAUAAAUAAAAACAAAACUUUCAGCAACGGAUCUCUUGGCUCUCGCAUCGAUGAAGAACGCAGCGAAUUGCGAUAAGUAAUGUGAAUUGCAGAAUUCAGUGAAUCAUCGAAUCUUUGAACGCACCUUGCACUCUUUGGUAUUCCGAAGAGUAUGUCUGUUUGAGUGUCAUGAAACUCUCAACCCCCCUAUUUUGUAAUGAGAUGGGUGUGGGAUUGGAUUAUGGUUGUCUGUCGGCGUAAUUGCCGGCUCAACUGAAAUACACGAGCAACCCUAUUGAAAUAAACGGUUUGACUUGGCGUAAUAAUUAUUUCGCUAAGGACGUUUUCUUCAAAUAUAAGAGGUGCUUCUAAUUCGCUUCUAAUAGCAUUUAAGCUUUAGACCUCAAAUCAGUCAGGACUACCCGCUGAACUUAAGCAUAUCAAUAAGCGGAGGAAAAGAAACUAACAAGGAUUCCCCUAGUAACGGCGAGUGAAGUGGGAAAAGCUCAACUUUGAAAUCUGGCACCUUCGGUGUCCGAGUUGUAGUCUCAAGAAGUGUUUUCUGUGCUGGUCCAUGUAUGAGUCUGUUGGAACACAGCGUCAUAGAGGGUGACAACCCCGUUCAUGACAUGGAUACC
Molecule: ribosomal RNA, 686 nt
Filed under: Cystobasidium slooffiae
Lineage: Eukaryota; Fungi; Basidiomycota; Cystobasidiomycetes; Cystobasidiales; Cystobasidiaceae
Description: eukaryotic LSU rRNA
Rfam family: Eukaryotic large subunit ribosomal RNA (bases 447-686)
Source: RNAcentral